GCCCUGAUGGCUCAGUUGGUUAGAGCGCAGGUCUCAUACUAUCUGUGUGACCGGUAUGGUUACCGGGCAAUCCUGAGGUCGCAAGUUCGAACCUUGCUCAGGGCA
RNAcentral lists this transfer RNA (105 nucleotides) under Suillus brevipes Sb2. Its description in RNAcentral is "tRNA-Met". It matches the Rfam family "tRNA". From Rfam's summary of the family: Transfer RNA (tRNA) molecules are approximately 80 nucleotides in length. Their secondary structure includes four short double-helical elements and three loops (D, anti-codon, and T loops). The record is from RNAcentral. Lineage: Eukaryota; Fungi; Basidiomycota; Agaricomycetes; Boletales; Suillaceae.